UGAUUCUUCAGCUGAGUAUCACAGUUGGGCCUGUAGACUGUUGACUCUCCUCCACAGAAGGAAGGCUGGGGAGGGGGGCGGUCAUAGGACCCUCCCCUGAACGUCCAGCCACUCCUCCCAGCAUUUGUGCGCAGUUGGCCCCAACUGUGCCUGGGAGGGGGGUGUCUCACGGAGGUGCUGGAGAACACAGGCAGGAAAGCUAACGAGAGUGAGUUGCAUACAGCCGGGAAGUAGGGGUGUCCUCCAACGCUGGGCGCAGACCUUCCGAUGCUUUAGAGUCACCCGGAGUCCCUCCUCUGACCCGUCCACGAUGCUCUGGGAUUGAGGCACCUCCCUAGUGAAAACGGAUGCGACUGUGGUUUCUCCGAGUCUCGGAGUAUCUUACUCCACCUUCUAGAAGCGUCUUCCUGUGUCUGACUCAGAAGUCCCAGUGUGAAGACCUGACCGGCUUACGCAGUCAGAACAGCAAGUGUCCGGAACGUUGACUUGGAAAGCGUCCUGAAUGCAGCGAGCUUCCACUGCAGGCUGAGAUUCAUUAUCCCUGAGAAAAAUAAUAUUUACCCACUCCAGAGGGCCUGGAAACAUCAUGGAAGGCCCCAAGUCAAGAUGGAGGUGGGGAGGAACAAGGCACUGUUUAGUUUUUCACUUCCAAAACAGGCCCACAAGUUUUAAUGACUGCUUG
This is a long non-coding RNA of Meriones unguiculatus (Mongolian gerbil), 682 nucleotides long. RefSeq lists it as uncharacterized. Lineage: Eukaryota; Metazoa; Chordata; Mammalia; Rodentia; Muridae. The record is from RefSeq and is a predicted model, not a curated record. The transcript has 3 exons.